This is a long non-coding RNA of Acanthopagrus latus (yellowfin seabream), 1161 nucleotides long. RefSeq lists it as uncharacterized. The transcript has 4 exons. The record is from RefSeq and is a predicted model, not a curated record. Lineage: Eukaryota; Metazoa; Chordata; Actinopteri; Spariformes; Sparidae.
ACUCUGUGUAUUUGUCACUGUGUCGAUGGAAACAGGUUGUAAUUAAUCGAUUAUUGACGGACUUCUUUUAAUGAAACGACCUGAGCUCUGAUUGGCUGCACAGACACCCGGCUGCCCAGCCACUGUUACCACGGUAACUACAGCCAAAACGACCAGGACUGAAAUAUAUCUUUAAACCUGAGGUGAUCUGCCACAGACCAACUUUCCUCUCUGUGGAAGAUGCAGCUGACCACGGCAGCACUGCUGAUGCAAGAGGAUCCUCCGCCCAUUAAGCACUGUUGCCUCCUGCAUCUUUCAAAGAAACCCCCCUCGGAUCCAAGACCACUUUGAAGUACCCUUUAUCGAUCUGCUGCUGUGAAGUGAGGGCGCCUGAAGGUGGAGUGGGUGGAGACAGGAGAGAGUGUGAGAGAGACUAUGACAGAUCAGAAGACAUGCAGACCUCCACCUGACCUCGUCGCCUCCAUCUGUGCUCCUGAGCUCAGCUGAACAGUCGAGCACCUCAACACGGGAACCUGCUGAAGUGCCUUUGAGCUACUUCUUUGAGUCUGACCACAGGACGAAGGUGAUGCUAAUCAUCCCUCCUCACAGACUGCAGCUGCGCUCUGAUUCGUUCAGCCUUCUCUCCAGAAAUCCUCCUCCAGCAGAGGGACGAGCCGGGUCACUGCAGGUGAGUCUGACAGCACCGGAGAUCCGGUCUCAACGGUUCUGUGUGUGUGUCUGUCAGAAUGGAUCUGGACACUCUGUCAGUAAAGCUGGUGAUUGAUGAAUCGGUUGUGAAAUUUGUUUAAAAAAGAUCUCAAGGUGAUUUUUAGGAGAAAUAAUGAAAUAUUUUCCAAACAGCCAUCAAUCAUCAUGUGAUGCUGUAAACAAUCACAGUCGCGUCCUCGACUCAGACAAUCCUGACGUUUGUCUCACGGAAACGACACGAGACGCUCCUCGUUUCCACCAGCCGGCCAAAGUGUUUUCAUUAAAGGAUCUUUACUGUCAUGUGCAGUUAAUGUGAAGCAGCUGUUUGUGAUUCUCACGUCGUCCGACAGGGAUUCUACAGAUAUGUGAAAAAUAAAAAUCACUGAAACACAAUACAGACGUGACAGUGUGCCGAAGUUCAAAUACAGGAAUACAUAAAUGAAUGAAAGCUGGAAGUCUUUGAGGUCGGAUUGG